GGGUAAGACGUUUUCCCAGCUGGGCUCUUGGCGGGAGGAUGAGAACAAGUCAAUCCUGUCCUCCAAACCAGCCAUUGGCAGCAAGGCUGUCAGCUACUCCAGCACCGGUAGCAGCAAGUCUUUUUGUUCCUGUGUACCUUGUGAAGGAACUGCUGAUGCCAGCUUCGUGACUUGUCCCACCUGCCAGGGCAGUGGCAAGAUUCCCCAAGAGCUGGAGAAGCAGUUGGUGGCUCUCAUCCCCUAUGGGGACCAGAGGCUGAAGCCCAAGCACACGAAGCUCUUUGUGUUCCUGGCCGUGCUCAUCUGCCUGGUGACCUCCUCCUUCAUCGUCUUUUUCCUGUUUCCCCGGUCCGUCAUUGUGCAGCCUGCAGGCCUCAACUCCUCCACAGUGGCCUUUGAUGAGGCUGAUAUCUACCUCAACAUAACGGUGGGUGGGUGCCCUUGGCUCCAAACCCCCCUUCCUAGCAAUACUUCGCUGUAAUCUUUGUCCAGUGUUAUGACCCUGGGCAUGGGAAGCCAGGGAUCUUAUGGCACCCAGAGGGUGUUGGGAGCCUGAAGAGAAGUAGGAGCA
Molecule: small RNA, 571 nt
Filed under: Pan troglodytes (chimpanzee)
Lineage: Eukaryota; Metazoa; Chordata; Mammalia; Primates; Hominidae
Description: retained intron
Source: RNAcentral